UAUUAGCUAAGGGUAAGCUAAAUCUAACCAUAAGCAAGUAGUAAUAAAGUGAUUAUAACUGAUCUCCGUUGCGUUAGUACCGAUAAAAAACCCCAGCGCAGCUCACUUGACUAUCUCUCUCCUUCAUCCCAUUAUCACAGUAACCCACGUGCUGUUGGUUAGCUAAACGUGUGGUAACAGAACAUGCUGCAGUUAGCAUGUCUGGCCCCUGCUACCUUCUUCAAUAGUGUUAACUGUUUGUCUGAACUCCUGGAAAGAUUAAAUUUAUUCGGAUACAUCUGUCCGAAGAAAGCAGGAGUGUGUCCUGAAAGAGUUACCGUAUCUCCCAGAAGUGAGUCCACCCUCAAAUCUAUUGGCCUCAGGAGGUUUUAAACAUACUGCAAUCACAGGUCUCCCCAUGAGGAACUGGCGGGUCUCAGGACUCCAGCAUGGUCCUGCAGUUUGUGUGGUUAGAUCUUCAGAGAGCAGUUAGAGGCCUUGGCACAGGCUAUUGAAUGUGACGACACCACCUUUUAUCACAUGCACAUUCAGAGAGGAAGUGUUUCGACCUGUGCCCAAAGGUUAAACUCCAGCACUCAGCCAACAUGGAAACAAGGUAUGUGUGUGUCAUCUGUCUAAAAGCUUCAACUACAUGUAGCACAUGGAGGCUACUCCCUACAUGUCCACACUGUUCAUUCUUCACCUGGCCAAAGUGAGUGACAUCACUCAUAUUUGAGUUACAAUCAGUUAGUAUUUUAAGCAUUUGGUUUCUGCUACUUCAUUCAAAAUACAUCAGAAAAACACAGUUGCAUUUCCCGUGGCUCAGAGUAAUGUUCUUUUACCCUGAACACCUCCAAAAUGAUGUUUUAGUGUGUCUGCAUUGGUGUCUAACAUUACAGCUUAUAAUGGUCAUGUUCUGAUGCCAGGCUACUUUAAAGGAGUCAUAUCAUGCUUUUCAUUCUAAAAAAUAUUAGACUUUAAUGUCUCAGUAAGGUCUCUGUAAAUUUUCAUCCCAUAAAACCCUUUAGAUCGUCCACACUGCCCCUGUCAAUAUGUGGUUCUCACUCCCCAUCAGCAAACGCUGUGUUUUCUGGGCGUGUCGCAAGCGAAGCUGCUCACCACACCUCUGUGCGGAAGCGCAUACCUUUUUUGUUGUUGUUUUUUUUUAAAUUGGCUCCAUGGAUACAAGCCACCGCACGGUUAGGAUACAAUAGGUGGCAGUAGUGCGACAUUGAGAAUGCAAUCCACCGCAAUCCUCCACAGAAGAAGAAGACCCACUACAGAACUGCACGACAUUAGUCAGCUGAUUCGUAGCGUAGUAGAACCAUACGUCUACGAUCCCGAAUCUGACCCUGAAGCUGAAGAGGAGGCUGUUGAAGUCACCACAUUUCGGCUGAUGCAAGAUGUGUCUCAUUGUUGUUACAGGUAUCUAGUCUACAGAGGCUAGUGAGCUGGUGCUGAGGAUUCCUGGGGUGAAGAAUCUGAGUUGCCAUCUCUUCAUGCUUGGGUUGUAGAUGAAGGCAGUUUCCUGAUGGAUAAAACACUAAAACACUCAUAGUAUGAUUGAUGUAGACCACCUGUAGAAUAACUCCUUUACCGUUUCAGUAAAAAUGUGUUUUUUGUGAGUGCAACACUCAUUAAGAAUUUUUUUAACUUUAUUUAUAUAUAAUUUAUAUGCGUUUUAUUUAUGGCCGCUUCAACUUUAUAGCUUACCAUAUUAGAAAGAGAAAAACAUGUAAUUUCAAUACUAUGAUUUCCUAAAUAAAAGUGUUUUCCCUUCAGAAA
This is a long non-coding RNA of Betta splendens (Siamese fighting fish), 1764 nucleotides long. RefSeq lists it as uncharacterized. NCBI's taxonomy places the organism in Eukaryota, Metazoa, Chordata, Actinopteri, Anabantiformes, Osphronemidae. The record is from RefSeq and is a predicted model, not a curated record. The transcript is spliced from 6 exons.